GAUGAACGCUGGCGGCGUGCCUAAUACAUGCAAGUCGAGCGAACAGACGAGGAGCUUGCUCCUCUGACGUUAUCGGCGGACGGGUGAGUAACACGUGGAUAACCUACCUAUAAGACUGGGAUAACUUCGGGAAACCGGAGCUAAUACCGGAUAAUAUAUUGAACCGCAUGGUUCACUAGUGAAAGACGGUUUUGCUGUCACUUAUAGAUGGAUCCGCGCCGCAUUAGCUAGUUGGUAAGGUAACGGCUUACCAAGGCAACGAUGCGUAGCCGACCUGAGAGGGUGAUCGGCCACACUGGAACUGAGACACGGUCCAGACUCCUACGGGAGGCAGCAGUAGGGAAUCUUCCGCAAUGGGCGAAAGCCUGACGGAGAAACGCCGCGUGAGUGAUGAAGGUCUUCGGAUCUUAAAACUCUGUUAUUAGGGAAGAACAAAUGUGUAAGUAACUAUGCACGUCGUGACGGUACCUAAUCAGAAAGCCACGGCUAACUACGUG
This 497-nucleotide ribosomal RNA is filed under the name uncultured bacterium. RNAcentral's name for it is "partial 16S ribosomal RNA". It matches the Rfam family "Bacterial small subunit ribosomal RNA", at positions 28 to 507 of the family's 1533-position model. The record is from RNAcentral.